CGUUUUAUGUAACUAAUAUAAAAUUAAAUCUGCCCAGUGAAAUUUAAACGGCCGCAGUACUUUGACUGUGCUAAGGUAGCAUAAUAAAUUGGCUUUUAAUUGGAGUCUUGUAUGAAAGAAUUCAUGGAUAAUUUCUGUCUUUAUAUAAAUUUUUAAAAAUUACUUUUAAGGUGAAAAUACCUUUAAAUAUUUAAUAGACGAGAAGACCCUAGGAGUUACUGUUUUUGUUGGGGCGACAUUUCUUCAUUUAACAUGAAUAAUCUUUUUUUGUAAAUUAAACGAUUAUUAUAAUUUUAAUUUAACUACCCUAGGGAUAACAGCAUAAUUUAUUUUUAAGUUUAUGACCUCGAUGUUGGAUUAGGAAAGUUUAAGGUUAAUAAUUUUAAUUCUAUGUUCUGUUCGAACAAAAAUUCCU
This 415-nucleotide ribosomal RNA is filed under the name Siamoconus boreas. RNAcentral's name for it is "Euconulidae sp. b AP-2023 partial large subunit ribosomal RNA". The record is from RNAcentral. Lineage: Eukaryota; Metazoa; Mollusca; Gastropoda; Stylommatophora; Euconulidae.